Molecule: ribosomal RNA, 671 nt
Filed under: uncultured bacterium
Lineage: Bacteria
Description: bacterial SSU rRNA
Rfam family: Bacterial small subunit ribosomal RNA
Source: RNAcentral
AGCUUGACGUUAGCGACAGAAGAAGCUCCGGCUAACUCCGUGCCAGCAGCCGCGGUAAUACGGAGGGAGCGAGCGUUAAUCGGAAUUACUGGGCGUAAAGCGCAUGCAGGCGGUUUAUUAAGUCAGAUGUGAAAGCCCUGGGCUCAACCUAGGAAAGUCAUUUGAAACUGGUAAACUAGAGUCUUGUAGAGGGGGGUAGAAUUUCAGGUGUAGCGGUGAAAUGCGUAGAGAUCUGAAGGAAUACCAGUGGCGAAGGCGGCCCCCUGGACAAAGACUGACGCUCAGAUGCGAAAGCGUGGGGAGCAAACGGGAUUAGAUACCCCGGUAGUCCACGCCGUAAACGAUGUCUACUUGAAGGUUGUGGCCUUGAGCCGUGGCUUUCGGAGCUAACGCGUUAAGUAGACCGCCUGGGGAGUACGGUCGCAAGAUUAAAACUCAAAUGAAUUGACGGGGGCCCGCACAAGCGGUGGAGCAUGUGGUUUAAUUCGAUGCAACGCGAAGAACCUUACCUACUCUUGACAUCCAGAGAAUUUAGCAGAGAUGCUUUAGUGCCUUCGGGAACUCUGAGACAGGUGCUGCAUGGCUGUCGUCAGCUCGUGUUGUGAAAUGUUGGGUUAAGUCCCGCAACGAGCGCAACCCUUAUCCUUGUUUGCCAGCACGUAAUGGUGGGA